RNAcentral lists this long non-coding RNA (1628 nucleotides) under Schizosaccharomyces pombe (fission yeast). Lineage: Eukaryota; Fungi; Ascomycota; Schizosaccharomycetes; Schizosaccharomycetales; Schizosaccharomycetaceae. The record is from RNAcentral.
AAAUAGAGCUGUUAAUCAUAAAUUGCCUUAAGACAGAGUGUUUCACGUCAACCAAAGCUAAACAAAACCACAGUGAAUCCAUACAACUCAAAAGUAUAUAAUAUCUGUUAACUUACCAUUUGGAAAACUCGAUACCUCUCUGUUGAGCCAAUCCUUCAGCCAAAACCUUUGGUAAACUUCCUCCACUAAGAGCUAAAGUGAACACGCCAUGCCUUUUAAUAGAAGCUUCACUUUUCUCUUUAACGAAUGCACCAAGUGCCUUUGCAACUAAACUAACGUCUGAAAAUGAGUAAACCGACAUUUUUUCUACUUGGUUCUGGUUUGCUUUCAGUAUUUGCGCAAUUGUUAGUAAUGGAGUAGUAUUAACGAAACAAGGUGGAGUGUCGUAAUUCAUUCGGUAGUCGGAAAUUUAGAACAGAACAAAUCUUAAAUCAGUUUUCGAGUAUAGUAAUGUACGAUUACGGCAUUAUCACGGCAAGGUAGCGGAGGUAUAGAAUAUAACCAUGAAGCAAGCAAUACGUCUGCAUCGCUGGGAUUAGAUAAAGAAGCUCGACCUUCUCUGCAUUUUUGUUUAAAUAAAUGAACCAAAUGAUAUUGAGAAAGGAAUUAAAUGAAGAAUAUACAGAUGGGCGCUGGUAGCUUUUCAAUAUCUUUCAAUCGAGUUCAAACGUUUAACCAUUUCCUAAUCAUUAAGAUUGUUUAUAGAUGUAGCUAACAAAGGCCGCAAAUUAGUCAUGAUUGAAACAUGAAAAAUCAGGUAACCCAAUUUAAGAGAACAUGUGUUCUAUUUUAUCCAAAUAGCUACAGUAGUUGUUUGAUAAAGCUGUUUGAAAAUGCGCAUUGUGGAUAAAAAGACACAAGAGCAUGAAAACGAAGAAGAAAACUCAAAUAAAAUUCAUUAAAUCACAUUUUACUGACAAGAUGAUUGUUUCCUUUCAUUUCAUGAGGAAGUUUCUGAACAAGAAAGGAAACACUUAAGCUUCCGUUUUCCAGUUCUCACACUUUUUAAUUAUAUAGAAAACAAAUCUGAUAAAAAUUCAAAUUGAUCGUCCUUACGUACAACGUCCUCAACGUCCCUGUAUCGUAUUCCUUUACGUUUUUGUAAUUUGGCAAGUUGAUAAGCCUCUGUUGCUAACUUUUCAACAAAUAAUUCCUAAAUCAUAAAAUAGGUAAGCUUUUAUUUUUCUUUUUCUUUUAUGCAAUCAAAAUGGUGCUAAGUCGCCCAGAUAGCUGAUUUAUCAACAACACACAUACAGUAGCUACUGAAAUUAACAAAGCAGAUGCAUUAGAACAGUAGUGUACGUCUUCAUCUUGCUUUAUUAUCCUCUUUACUCUGCUCAAUGGCAAUACAGUUUUCCCAUAUGUUUUCUCCAUGAAUCAAUCCUAUCGACCGAAACAAUUUAAAGGACUGGAAAAAAGCAAUUAUACCCUUAAACUAUAAGGUUCUAAUAUAAAAUAACCCAAAAUCUCUAGUGCUAUAAAAAAUUAUAGCCUUCUGAUUUCUGACUUUUAGUGUGUUGUUGUCAAAAUACGAAGUACUCUCGCGUCGCGACCUAAUAAUAAACAUACUUACUUUACCACUAGAACCUUACAUUGUUGUUUAACUUGAAACAUAAAUAUUUUUAACU